CAAGAACCAGAACUGAAAACAGUGUCACGGCUGAGAGUAAAUGAGGCUGACAGAUAAAGCCGAUCGGAGCACAGGCAAAGGUAUCCAUGUAGACAGCAUUUUUUCUCCAGUGCUACAGAUCAAACCCAAGGACUUCUACAUGGCAUAAAGCACUCCAGGACAGAGAGUGCGGGAUCUUUUGCCAGCUCUGGAGAGUCUGGAAAGGGUAAAAACGGGAGAGGCCCAAGAGGGCCUGCUGCUGCUACACUGAGCCCACUGCUGUUGCAUUUGCUCGUGAUGGUCUGCUGGGUGUUCUGACAAUGAAGGCUGUGCUCACCCCAGGGAAGCCAAUGAACCUACCAUCUGCAGCCUACAGAGGUCUACGCCCCUUUCUCCUCUGACUUCUUCCUCUCCAACCUAGCAUUGGGGAUUUGGAUGGGAUUAAGGUGGAAUGAGGGUAAAGAUAUAAGAAUGCAAUAAAAUAAUAAAACAAUUAGGCCAACACUAC
This 487-nucleotide long non-coding RNA is filed under the name Rattus norvegicus (Norway rat). RNAcentral describes it as "long non-coding RNA NONRATT013815". The record is from RNAcentral. Lineage: Eukaryota; Metazoa; Chordata; Mammalia; Rodentia; Muridae.